Molecule: ribosomal RNA, 738 nt
Filed under: uncultured Staphylococcus sp.
Lineage: Bacteria; Bacillati; Bacillota; Bacilli; Caryophanales; Staphylococcaceae
Description: bacterial SSU rRNA
Rfam family: Bacterial small subunit ribosomal RNA
Source: RNAcentral
GCAGUCGAGCGAACGACGAGGAGCUUGCUCCUUUGACGUUAGCGGCGGACGGGUGAGUAACACGUGGGUAACCUACCUAUAAGACUGGGAUAACUUCGGGAAACCGGAGCUAAUACCGGAUAAUAUUUCGAACCGCAUGGUUCGAUAGUGAAAGAUGGCUCUGCUAUCACUUAUAGAUGGACCUGCGCCGUAUUAGCUAGUUGGUAAGGUAACGGCUUACCAAGGCAACGAUACGUAGCCGACCUGAGAGGGUGAUCGGCCACACUGGAACUGAGACACGGUCCAGACUCCUACGGGAGGCAGCAGUAGGGAAUCUUCCGCAAUGGGCGAAAGCCUGACGGAGCAACGCCGCGUGAGUGAUGAAGGUCUUCGGAUCGUAAAACUCUGUUAUUAGGGAAGAACAAACGUGUAAGUAACUGUGCACGUCUUGACGGUACCUAAUCAGAAAGCCACGGCUAACUACGUGCCAGCAGCCGCGGUAAUACGUAGGUGGCAAGCGUUAUCCGGAAUUAUUGGGCGUAAAGCGCGCGUAGGCGGUUUUUUAAGUCUGAUGUGAAAGCCCACGGCUCAACCGUGGAGGGUCAUUGGAAACUGGAAAACUUGAGUGCAGAAGAGGAAAGUGGAAUUCCAUGUGUAGCGGUGAAAUGCGCAGAGAUAUGGAGGAACACCAGUGGCGAAGGCGACUUUCUGGUCUGUAACUGACGCUGAUGUGCGAAAGCGUGGGGAUCAAACAGGAUU